GUUUGAUCCUGGCUCAGGACGAACGCUGGCGGCGUGCUCAAUACAUGCAAGUCGAGCGGACAGGUGGAGCUUCCCCUGAUGUUAGCGGCGGACGGGUGAGUAACACGUGGUAACCUGCCUGUAAGACUGGGAUAACUCCGGGAAACCUGGCUAAUACCAUUGGAUGGUUGUUUGAACCGCAUGGUUCAAACAUAAAGGUGGCUUCGGCUACCACUUACAGAUGGACCCGCGGCGCAUUAGCUAGUUGGUGAGGUAACGGCUCACCAGCAACGAUGCGUAGCCGACCUGGAGGGUGAUCGGCCACACUGGGACUGAGACACGGCCCAGACUCCUACGGGAGGCAGCAGGGAAUCUUCCGCAAUGGACGAAAGUCUGACGGAGCAACGCCGCGUGAGUGAUGAAGGUUUUCGGAUCGUAAAGCUCNNUGUUAGGGGAAGANAGUACCGUUCGAACAGGGUGGUACCUUGACGGUACCUAACCAGAAAGCCACGGCUAACUACGUGCCAGCAGCCGCGGUAAUACGUAGGUGGCAAGCGUUUUCCGGAAUUAUUGGCGUAAAGGGCUCGCAGGCGGUUUCUUAAGUCUGAUGAAAGCCCCCGGCUCAACCGGGGAGGGUCAUUGAAACUGGGAACUUGAGUGCAGAAGAGAGAGUGGAAUUCCACGUGUAGCGGUGAAAUGCGCAGAGAUGUGGAGGAACACCAGUGGCGAAGGCGACUCUGGUCUGUAACUGACGCUGAGGAGCGAAAGCGUGGGAGCGAACAGGAUUAGAUACCCUGGUAGUCCACGCCGUAAACGAUGAUGCUAAGUGUUAGGGGGUUUCCGCCCUUAGUGCUGCAGCUAACGCAUUAACACUCCGCCUGGGAGUACGGUCGCAAGACUGAAACUCAAAGGAAUUGACGGGGCCCGCACAAGCGGUGGAGCAUGGUUUAAUUCGAAGCAACGCGAAGAACCUUACCAGGUCUUGACAUCCUCUGACAAUCCUAGAGAUAGGACGUUCCCUUCGGAGGACAGGNNNNGNUGGUGCAUGGUUGUCGUCAGCUCGUGUCGUGAGAUGUUGGGUUAAGUCCCGCAACGAGCGCAACCCUGAUCUUAGUUGCCAGCAUUCAGUUGGGCACUCUGCGACUGCCGUNANAAACCGGAGGAAGGUGGGGAUGACGUCAAAUCAUCANGCCCUUAUGACCUGGGCUACACGUGCUACAAUGGACAGAACAAAGGGCAGCGAAACCGCGAGGUUAAGCCAAUCCCACAAAUCUACUCAGUUCGGAUCGCAGUCUGCAACUCGACUGCGUGAAGCUGGAGUCGCUAGUAAUCGGAUCAGCAUGCCGCGGUGAAUACGUUCCCGGGCCUUGUACACACCGCCCGUCACACCACGAGUUUGUAACACCCGAAGUCGGUGAGGUAACCUUUAGGAGCCAGCCGCCGAAGGUGGACGGAUGAUUGGGUGAAGUCGGAACAAGGUAGCCGUAUCGGAAGGUGCGGCUG
RNAcentral lists this ribosomal RNA (1482 nucleotides) under metagenome. Its description in RNAcentral is "bacterial SSU rRNA". It matches the Rfam family "Bacterial small subunit ribosomal RNA". The record is from RNAcentral.